This is a non-coding RNA of Xyrichtys novacula (pearly razorfish), 8629 nucleotides long. Lineage: Eukaryota; Metazoa; Chordata; Actinopteri; Labriformes; Labridae. The record is from the annotation of a GenBank genome assembly.
AAACACAGAGGCUUUAUAAACGGAUUGGUUAAAAAUCGGAAUAUUGUCGUUCGCAUCUAAGACAGUGAUUUCUAUAUUUACUGUACCAGAUCUCUGUGGUGUUCCUCCGUCGACUGCGAUCAGUUUUAAGGACAAGUGUGGAUGUCGCUCUCGGUCUAAAGGCUUCUGGAGCACCAUUUCUACAUAUUUAUUUCCGUCUGGAUUCGAAUGUUGCUUCAAUAUAAAAUUGUCGUUGGUUGAUAAAAUGUAAUCUUGUAAAGCGUUUUGUCCAACAUCCAGAUCCAUUGCAUUCUGUAGAGGUAACUUCAAUCCGACUGCAGCUGAUUCACUUAUUUCUGAACGGAUAGGUUUAUCAUUAUCAGGGAAAACAGGAGCAUGAUCAUUUAUGUCCAAAACCUCGACAGUGAUUCUGUGUAAUUCCAUUGGAUUCUCUAAAAUCAUCUCAAAGCUGAAGCUACACGGAGUCGUGUCUCCACAGAGCUGCUCUCGGUCAAUUCUCUCAUUCACGACCAGAGUCCCUUUGUCUGUCUUCAGCUCGGUGUACUGGAUGUUUUCCCCACUCACGAUACGGGCCCGCCCUGCACGGAGCCUUCUCAGAUCCAACCCGAGAUCUUGAGCCACAUUACCGAUAACAGAGCCUUUCUUCAUCUCCUCUGGUAUAGAAUAACGAAUCUGACCAUCAACCACGUUAGCAACACACAGCAGGAAAAGCAGCAUUUGUAAUUUCCGUAGCAGUCCUUGAAACACUCGCCAUCUUGCGCAUUUGUACACGAGAGAUCCUCCAAUUGCCAUCAUAGCAACAAAGAAAAAAAAAUCUGUGUCUGUGUAUCCAGUAGAAAUGAUGGUGAAACUGGUUCCUGUAAUAUUUUGCUCUGGCAGCCAAAGAACACGUUUUCAACCUUCAUAUGAGAAUCUAUGAGACGGCAUCACCUCAACCUCGAUAAAACACAGAGUCCUCUGUAUUAUGUAGUCAGACGGGGGUGGGGUGGACUGGAUGACGACGAAGCACAGAAAAUGUUUUGCUGACCAACAGCGUCCCUUAGAGUCUAAAAGGGGAACAAUCAAUAAAACAGUGCCGGCGCUGAACAUUAGUGAUGGACUAGACACGUUCCUAUGCUCAACAUUGAGGUCGAUACACAAAUUAGAAUCAGAUAAUAAGGGGAAGUUUUCAAAAAUACACAGCUAACAAAUAAUUAGGCUUCAUAGUCGAUGGCGGUAAGAUAACUGUAAAAAGGCAUAAACGAUAUGAAAAUCAGGAUACUGGGUGUUUUUAUCUUGUAAAAUGAAACAUACAUGACACUGACGAAGAGCUUUAAAAUUGUAGACCCUGUAAUAUAUAUUUGUUAUCAUUCAACCCUGAAGAUUGACGAUUUGAACAAGGGGUGCAUAGACAACAUACAUACUAUGAAAGGAUACAUACUAUAUAGUAAUACUCAAUAUGAAGGCAUCUUUCUACAGGAUACAAAAAACCGUCCAGUAUGACAUCGACGCCAACAUAAACAUCGCCUAGAUUAAGACUACUGCAAACUUCCCUUAGAAAAACACAGAGUGGCCGAAGUGCUGUCCAUGGUACUAUAUCUGACGUUCAAUAACAACGCACAUUUCAAGCUGAAAACAUGGGACACGGAAAAAGGUCAGUUAUUCAGGUGACCUCUGGAGAAUCUGGUUCAUCCACGAUAUCACUAAUGCCAGAACCAUCUUCACUAUUUUAUACUGAGCUAAAUGUGUUGAGUAAUGGCCCUUUGAUUCCUAUUCUAUACAGCAAGUAACAGUUGUAUGUCAGUGAUAUUAACACUCGUUUGUGUUCAUCACAUUUAUGCGAAGUUAUUUUGGAGCAAUAGGAGUAGAUUUAAAUUAGGGUUAGAAAAGUUGCAUGCGUGCAGAAGCAUCUAUGCACAACGUAAAGGCAAUAUUUGGAGUGGUGUAACUCGACUUCAAAGCCAUCUAUAAUUAAAAUGAAUCUUGCAAAAUAUCUGCAGGCUUUAUAGGUAAAAAAUUCCUGGGAAGAUCCCUGAACCGAAAAGGGUGCUGUCCACGGUGCUGAAUGUGGAGAUAUAGAUGUCGAAUGCGUAGCUCGAAUUUUUAUAAAAUACAACAAAAACAAUGCCAAAUAUCAGGUGUUACAAUACCUCCAGUGGAGAGUCUGGUUCGUCCAGGAUGCUCUUCUCACUCUGUAUCCUCUGCAUGGUCCCUGUAGAACUGGGGUCCAUUAUCAGCACGUUCUGACUACCAGCUCUGCCGAACUUACAGUCACUCUUUCUCGAGUCAGUCGUCCUGCACACCUCGUAAUUGUACACGUGUGGAAGAGUCCCUGUGCCCAGAGUGUCUGAGUAACGUGGAGGAUAAUAGGGAAUCACGGGAAGACUGGAGUGAUACAGGAUACGAGACUGUCUCCAUCUGUAGAUCUUCACUGAUAUAAUGACCACCAAACACGUGAUGAAGAGGAAGGACACUACAGCCAAAGCCAGCACUAAGUAAAAAGUCAGGUUGUCAUUGUACUCCUUGUCGUGUGUAAAGUCAGUGAACUCUGACAGCACUUCAGGGAAGCUGUCCGCCACCGCCACGUUCACAAUGACUGUAGCUGAACGAGACGGCUGCCCGUUGUCCUCCACUAUCACAGUCAGUCUUUGUUUCACAGCAUCUUUAUCACUCACUUGGCGGAUAGUUCGGAUUUCUCCAUUCUGUAAGCCCACUUCAAACAGCGCCCUGUCUGUGGCUUUCUGCAGUUUAUACGACAGCCAGGCAUUCUGUCCAGAGUCCACAUCCACAGCUACCACUUUAGUCACUAGAUAGCCCACAUCUGCUGCACAAGGAACCAUCUCAGCCACCAGAGAACCACCAGUCUGGACCGGGUACAGGACCUGAGGAGGGUUGUCAUUCUGGUCCUGGAUCACUAUUUUCACUGUCACGUUGCUGCUGAGUGGAGGGGAGCCUCCAUCCUGAGCUUUGACUACCAGCUGAAGAUAUUUGAUUUGCUCAUAAUCAAGAGAACGAACUGCGCUGAGAACUCCAGUUUCAGAGUUUAGACUCACAUAAGUCGAGACUGGACUACCACUGACCUGUGUAUCCUCUAAAAUAUACGAGAUUCUUGCAUUUUGGCCCCAAUCUGAGUCUCUCGCGCUGACAGUAAAUAUGGAUACUCCAGGUGGAUUAUUUUCUGUGAUGUAAGCAGAGUAAAUUGUUUUGUCAAAUAAUGGCGCGUUGUCAUUUACGUCAGAAAUCUUUAGGUGCAAUUUUGUGGAGGUGGAAAGAGGCGGAGAACCGAAAUCAGUGGCUGUUAUUGUGAUGUUAUAUUCUGAGACAGAUUCUCUAUCAAAAUGUUGAUCUGAGAUCAAAUUAUAAUAGUUUGUCAGAGAUGAUUCAAUCUUGAAAGGCAGUUUUCCCUCGAUCGAACAUUUUAUUUGUCCAUUUUUAUCAGAAUCCGCAUCUUUAAUGUUUAAAACAGCAAUUGUGGUACCGACAAGGGCAUCUUCAGAUACAGUGCUAGAAAAAGACAUAAUGUUUAUCACUGGAGCAUUGUCAUUAACAUCAAAAACAUCAAAUAUAACUUUACUUGUUCCUGUUAAUCCACCUUGAUCCCUAGCCUCCACCCUCACCUCAUAUUUUCUGUCUUUUUCAUAAUCUAGGGGACCAUUUACAGAUAUAGUGCCUGUUUUUUCAUCAAUGCUAAACAAAUCUUCCGCACUACCUUUAGUAUUAGAUAAACUGUAACUGAUGACUCCAUUAGAACCACUAUCAGCGUCUGUGGCGUUUACUGUUAUAACUCUCGUGCCCUUCAGUGUGUUCUCAAACACAGAGGCUUUAUACACGGAUUGGUUAAAAACUGGAGCGUUGUCGUUCGCAUCUAAGACAGUGAUUUCUAUAUUUACUGUACCAGAUCUCUGUGGUGUUCCUCCGUCGACUGCGAUCAGUUUCAGAGACAAGUGUGGAUGUCGCUCUCGGUCUAAAGGCUUCUGGAGCACCAUUUCUACAUAUUUACUUCCGUCGGGAUUUGCAUGCUGCUUUAAUAUAAAAUUGUCGUUGGCUGAUAAAAUAUAAUCUUGCAAGGCGUUUUGUCCAACAUCUAAAUCUUCCGCACUCUGCAGGGGAAACUGUACUCCUACCACCGCUGAUUCACUUAUCUCGAGGCGGAUAGGCUUGUCAAUUUUUGGGAAAACGGGAGCGUGAUCGUUUAUGUCUAAAACCUCGAUAGUUAUUCGAUGCAGUUCAAUGGGAUUCUCUAAAAUCAUCUCAAAGCUGAAGCUACACGGAGUCGUGUCUCCACAGAGCUGCUCUCGGUCAAUUCUCUCAUUCACGACCAGAGUCCCUUUGUCUGUCUUCAGCUCGGUGUACUGGAUGUUUUCUCCACUCACGAUACGGGCCCGCCCUGCACGGAGCCUUCUCAGAUCCAAACCAAGAUCUUGAGCCACAUUACCGAUAACAGAGCCUUUCUUCAUCUCCUCUGGUAUAGAAUAACGAAUCUGACCAUCAACCACGUUAGCAACACACAGCAGGAAAAGCAGCAUUUGUAUUUUCCGUAGCAGUCCUUGAAAUACUCGCCAUCUUGCGCAUUUGUCGAAGAGAGAUCCUUCAACUGCCAUCAUAGCAACAAAGAAAAAAAGAGGCAAGUGUGUGUAUCCAGUGGAAAUGAUGGUGAAACUGGUUCCUUUAAAUCCUUGUCCUGGCAAAAUGUGAUCUCGUCUUCGAAUAUCACAUGAUAAUCUUUGAGACUGUGCUCUCCCCUACAACGUUUAAACCGCAUAAAACACAGAGAGCCUUUGGUAUCAGAGGGAGGAUGGACUGGAUGACGACACGACUUAAAUGUUUUGCUGACCAACAGCGUCCCUUAGAGUCUAGAAUGAGAAAUUCACGUGCAGCCAAGAGCGCGGUACUGUCAUUUAGACUGAAUAAAGAUUCCGUCGAUAUCCGGUGAUCAAUACUGAUAACCAAUAAUUGACCUUAAGGGUUUUAAAGACCAAAGUCCAAAUUAACAGUGAAUCAGCACGAUAAAUGCCAACAUUUUAAAACAAAUAAUCCAACUGAAUGGACAAUGCGAGAAAUCUGAACACCAAAAACACAUCUUCCAAGUUGCCAUGAUGCAAGUACAGUGCUGUAGUUAUACGACAACACAUUAAAAUGCUUUUAAGUGUAGUAUUUUUAUAUUUAAUAGGUGACUGCCAUUGCGGUUAGAAAACUAUGUUGUGUCUCACUUAUGAUGAAAAUAAAGAAUAAGAUGUGAAAGGCGAUAUGAAUAAAUAAUUUCUAACAAGAUUGAGAAGUGUUAUAAUCACUAUCAUCAAAAGCUCUAUUACUUUCACUUGCAUGUGAACUAUUACUCUUCUUAUCCUUUCCUCUUACCUUUAUUUUUGCAUGCUAUUCGUUAUCUGCUGCACUCUACCCUGUUUAUACAUGACAUUAUUUCCAAGGUAGUUUUCAUGGUUUAAAACUAAGUCCUUUUUUACUGAAGGAACCCUAUUUUGAUUCAUAUUAUAUCUGGCCUCUCAUUUGUUGCUAACACAAAUUAUUCAUGUCAGACUUAGCUUAUGAAGCUCAUAACAAUCAUAUAACAUUUACACUGACGUACUUUGGUAAUAAUCAUAAGUUAGCAAUGUACGUGUGAAGAUAAGGAAGCAGAGUUAAAUACGGAUUGAAGAACUUAUAUAUGAUCUUAACUCUCAGCUGCAACACCAGAAAAAUUCUUCCCUAACGUUUCAGAUUCCAGGGUCUCCAACCUAAUCAAAAAGCAUGAGCUGAUCAAACUUAAAAACGUAAAUACAAAAAAAAAGAUAGGAGAAAAUGUAUUUAAAAGGUUAUGACCUGACAAUAAACCAUGACGUCGAAAUAUUACCUCUUGAAUAUAGCAGCUUUCAGGGGCUGAAAAAAAAAUGACCGUGACCAACGGUCAGAGAGGGCGCUGUCCAUGGUGUUGGAUGUAAAGUUUAAGAUGUCAAUUGCAAUCAACCAAUCUAUAUGGAUGAAUAAAAAAAAGCGAAAUGUCAGGUUUUAAAUACCUCUAGUGGAGAGUCUGGUUCAUCCAGGAUGCUCUUCUCACUCUGUAUCCUCUGCAUGGUCCCUGUAGAACUGGGGUCCAUUAUCAGCACGUUCUGACUACCAGCUCUGCCGAACUUACAGUCACUCUUUCUCGAGUCAGUCGUCCUGCACACCUCGUAAUUGUACACGUGUGGAAGAGUCCCCGUGCCCAGAGUGUCUGAGUAACGUGGAGGAUAAUAGGGAAUCACUGGAAGACUGGAGUGAUACAGGAUACGAGACUGUCUCCAUCUGUAGAUUUUCACUGAUAUAAUGACCACCAAACACGUGAUGAAGAGGAAGGACACUACAGCCAAAGCCAGCACUAAGUAAAAAGUCAGGUUGUCAUUGUACUCCUUGUCGUGUGUAAAGUCAGUGAACUCUGACAGCACUUCAGGGAAGCUGUCCGCCACCGCCACGUUCACAAUGACUGUAGCUGAACGAGACGGCUGCCCGUUGUCCUCCACUAUCACAGUCAGUCUUUGUUUCACAGCAUCUUUAUCACUCACUUGGCGGAUAGUUCGGAUUUCUCCAUUCUGUAAGCCCACUUCAAACAGCGCCCUGUCUGUGGCUUUCUGCAGUUUAUACGACAGCCAGGCAUUCUGUCCAGAGUCCACGUCCACAGCCACCACUUUAGUCACCAGAUAGCCCACAUCUGCUGCACGAGGAACCAUCUCAGCAACCAGAGAGCCACCGGUCUGGACCGGGUACAGGACCUGAGGAGGGUUGUCGUUCUGGUCCUGGAUCAUUAUUUUCACUGUCACGUUGCUGCUGAGUGGAGGGGAGCCUCCAUCUUGAGCUUUGACUACCAGCUGAAGAUAUUUGAUUUGCUCAUAAUCAAGAGAACGAACUGCGCUGAGAACUCCAGUUUCAGAGUUUAAACUCACAUAAGUCGAGACUGGACUUCCACUGACCUGUGUAUCCUCUAAAAUAUACGAGAUUCUUGCAUUUUGGCCCCAAUCUGAGUCUCUCGCGCUGACAGUAAAUAUGGAUACUCCAGGUGGAUUAUUUUCUGUGAUGUAAGCAGAGUAAAUUGUUUUAUCAAAUAAUGGCGCGUUGUCAUUUACGUCAGAAAUCUUUAGGUGCAAUUUUGUGGAGGUGGAAAGAGGCGGAGAACCGAAAUCAGUGGCUGUUAUUGUGAUGUUAUAUUCUGAGACAGAUUCUCUAUCAAAAUGUUGAUCCGAGAUCAAAUUGUAAUAGUUUGUCAGAGAUGAGACGAUUUUGAAAGGCAGUUUUCCAUCGAUUGAACAUUUUAUUUGUCCAUUUUUAUCAGAAUCCGCAUCUUUUAUAUUUAAAAUAGCUAUUGUUGUACCAGGAGGAGCAUCUUCAGAUACAGGACUAGAAAAAGACAUAAUGUUGAUCACUGGAGCAUUGUCGUUAACAUCAAAAACAUCAAAUAUAACUUUACUUGUUCCUGUUAAUCCACCUUGAUCCCUAGCCUCCACCCUCACCUCAUAUUUUCUGUCUUUUUCAUAAUCUAGAGGACCAUUUACAGAUAUAGCGCCUGUUUUUUCAUCAAUGCUAAACAAAUCUUCCGCACUGCCUCUUGUAUUAGACAAACUAUAACUAAUGACUCCAUUUGAACCACUGUCAGCGUCUGUGGCGUUUACUGUUAUAAUUCUUGCACCCUUCAUUGUGUUUUCAAACACAGAGGCUUUAUACAUUGAUUGGUUAAAAAUCGGAACAUUGUCAUUUACAUCUAAGACAGUGAUUUCUAUAUUUACUGUACCAGAUCUUUGUGGUGUUCCUCCGUCGACUGCGAUCAGUUUUAACGACAAGUGUGGAUGUCGCUCUCGGUCUAAAGGCUUCUGGAGCACCAUUUCUACAUAUUUAUUUCCGUCUGGAUUCGCAUGUUGCUUCAAUAUAAAAUUGUCGUUGGUUGACAAAAUGUAAUCUUGUAGAGCGUUUUGCCCAACAUCUAAGUCUUCUGCGCUCGGCAGUGGAAACUGUACUCCUACCAGCGCUGAUUCACUAAUCUCGAGGCGGAUAGGCUUAUCAAUUUUGGGGAAAACAGGAGCGUGAUCAUUUAUGUCCAGAACCUCGACAGUUAUUCUGUGUAGUUCCAUUGGAUUCUCUAAAAUCAUCUCAAAGCUGAAGCUACACGGAGUCGUGUCUCCACAGAGCUGCUCUCGGUCAAUUCUCUCAUUCACGACCAGAGUCCCUUUGUCUGUCUUCAGCUCGGUGUACUGGAUGUUUUCUCCACUCACGAUACGGGCCCGCCCUGAACGGAGCCUUCUCAGAUCCAAACCAAGAUCUUGAGCCACAUUACCGAUAACAGAGCCUUUCUUCAUCUCCUCUGGUAUAGAAUAACGAAUCUGACCAUCAACCACGUUAGCAACACACAGCAGGAAAAACAGCAUUUGUAAUUUCCGUAGCAGUCCUUGAAAUACUCGCCAUCUUGCGCAUUUGUCGAAGAGAAAUCCUUCAACUGCCAUCAUAGCAACAAAGAAAAAAAAAACAAGUGUGUGUAUCCAGUGGAAAUGAUGGUGAAACUGGUUCCUUUAAAUCCUUGUCCUGGCAAAAUACGAUCUUCGAAUAUCACAUGAAAAUCUGUGAGACUGUGCUCUCCCCUACAACGUUUAAACCGCAUAAAACACAGACAGCCUUUGGUAUCAGAGGGAGG